UCCCUGAUAGCUCAGUUGGUAAAGAGUCUGCCUGCAAUGCAGAAGACCGUGGUUUGAUUCCUGGGUUGGGAA
Molecule: transfer RNA, 72 nt
Filed under: Ovis aries (sheep)
Lineage: Eukaryota; Metazoa; Chordata; Mammalia; Artiodactyla; Bovidae
Rfam family: tRNA
About the family: Transfer RNA (tRNA) molecules are approximately 80 nucleotides in length. Their secondary structure includes four short double-helical elements and three loops (D, anti-codon, and T loops). Further hydrogen bonds mediate the characteristic L-shaped molecular structure. tRNAs have two regions of fundamental functional importance: the anti-codon, which is responsible for specific mRNA codon recognition, and the 3' end, to which the tRNAs corresponding amino acid is attached (by aminoacyl-tRNA synthetases). tRNAs cope with the degeneracy of the genetic code in two manners: having more than one tRNA (with a specific anti-codon) for a particular amino acid; and 'wobble' base-pairing, i.e. permitting non-standard base-pairing at the 3rd anti-codon position.
Source: Rfam by way of RNAcentral